Molecule: ribosomal RNA, 492 nt
Filed under: uncultured bacterium
Lineage: Bacteria
Description: partial 16S ribosomal RNA
Rfam family: Bacterial small subunit ribosomal RNA
Source: RNAcentral
AGUGAACGCUGGCGGUAGGCCUAACACAUGCAAGUCGAACGGCAGCACAGUAAGAGCUUGCUCUUACGGGUGGCGAGUAGCGGACGGGUGAUGAAUACAUCGGAAUCUACUUUUUCGUGGGUGAUAACGUAGGGAAACUUACGCUAAUACCGCAUACGACCUACGGGUGAAAGCAGGGGAUCUUCGGACCUUGCGCGAUUGUAUGAGCCGAUGUCGGAUUAGCUAGUUGGCGGGGUAAAGGCCCACCAAGGCGACGAUCCGUAGCUGGUCUGAGAGGAUGAUCAGCCACACUGGAACUGAGACACGGUCCAGACUCCUACGGGAGGCAGCAGUGGGGAAUAUUGGACAAUGGGCGAAAGCCUGAUCCAGCCAUACCGCGUGGGUGAAGAAGGCCUUCGGGUUGUAAAGCACUUUUGUUGGGGAAGAAAAGCAGCAGGUUAAUACCCCGCUGUUCUGACGGUACCCAAAGAAUAAGCACCGGCUAACUUCGUG